This 253-nucleotide ribosomal RNA is filed under the name uncultured bacterium. RNAcentral's name for it is "partial 16S ribosomal RNA". It matches the Rfam family "Bacterial small subunit ribosomal RNA", at positions 524 to 776 of the family's 1533-position model. The record is from RNAcentral.
UACAGAGGUCUCAAGCGUUGUUCGGAUUCAUUGGGCGUAAAGGGUGUGUAGGCGGACCCGUAAGUCAGGGGUGAAAGUCGGCGGCUUAACCGUUGGAUUGCCUUUGAUACUGCGGGUCUUGAGUCCUGGAGGGGCCACUAGAAUUCGUGGUGUAGCGGUGAAAUGCGUAGAUAUCACGAGGAAUACCAGAGGCGUAGGCGAGUGGCUGGACAGGAACUGACGCUGAGGCACGAAAGCGUGGGGAGCGAACAGG